UUAUAAUGGCAUGCAGGGACGUAAACAGUGGCGAAGAGACAGCCCGAGAAAUCCUUCAAGAGACUGGCGCUGACAGAAAACUUGUUCUUGUCAAAGAGCUGGAUCUUGCCUCGAUUGCAUCUAUACACAAUUUCUGCCAGGGGAUAAUAGAGGUAUAAAAUGGCAGCCUGUCAUAUUUUGAUUAUAACGAAUACAAAUGAAUUUAUUCUCAUUCUCACUAGUAACAUUGGUGAAAUUCAUUCUAACGGUAAAAAUCGUCCAAUCCAUUUAACUGGCGCGGGGUGGGGGGAGCGAUCAUUCGAUUGAAAUCGUUAUUAUUUAUUUAUUUAUUUUAUUGUUUUUAAAUGUAUUUAGUAAACAUUUAAAAUGUAUAUAUGAACUAUUUUCCUUAUUUUAUUGGCAAAUUUAAAAGUAUUCUCUAUGUUUGUCUUCUAACUCAGGGGUCCCCAUCUGCUGGGCCGCGGACCGGUACCGGUCCGUGAUGCGUUUGCUACCGGGCCGCAUAAAAAUAAUAAUUUAAUAACGACUGCAUUCUGGCUGAAUUAACCCUGUGCCCCUGCUUAACACACCAAUAUCCCUGUUUACUCUAGAUAUAAUACUACAGGAUAGAUUAGAAUGUCGUCAUAGAAAUCCAUUGAUUGGACUGCUAUUAGUACAUCUUGUUCGUGUAUAUAAUAUAUCUAUGUGCGCUUGUCCUUGAUAAUAACAUAUUGCUAGGCCGCGGGCGCAGCACAUUUGUUCCCGGAAAUAAUUAGCCCCCACACGAGGGAAAAUGACUGGAAAACAGAAGUCUUUGGAGAUAUUUUUACGGCGAAAAGGGCACCUGACGAGCUACAACCUCGAAGACCCACGAACUGCGAAGGAGUGGAUUCGUGACCCGUUUGUGAAUAAACCGAGUGAUUCGAGCAUGUCUGUGCAAAAGAAAAAUCAACUUGUAGAGAUCGCAAAUGACGGCGACCUUAUUAAACCUACAUUUGAGACAACAACUCUACCGAGGUUCUGGAUUGAAGUCGUUCUGGAAUAUCCUGACAUCGCUACAAGAGCAUUGAAAACGUUGCUACAAUUUCCAACAUCGUAUCUUUGUGAAGCGGGCUUGUUAAUUAAUGUUUAACGACAAGGCGAAGUCGUUAAUGGUGAGAGCGGUGUGCUGUUGUUGUGUGCAGCUUACAUGGCAGGAUGUAUCUGAGGAGACCUUUUCUACAAGUCUUUCCAUGAUCAAACGAGGAACCUCGUUUAGAUGUGCUGAUAAAUAACGCUGGGGUCUAUCAAUGUCCUUACACCAAAACUGAGGACGGCUUUGAGAUGCAGUUCGGGGUCAACCAUUUGGGCCAUUUCCUGCUCACUCACCUGUUGCUGGACCUUUUGA
Molecule: RNA transcript, 1366 nt
Organism: Corythoichthys intestinalis (scribbled pipefish)
Lineage: Eukaryota; Metazoa; Chordata; Actinopteri; Syngnathiformes; Syngnathidae
Gene name: retinol dehydrogenase 14-like
Exons: 2
Source: RefSeq, a predicted model, not a curated record